CCAGAGAACUUAGCAGAGAUGCUUUGGUGCCUUCGGGAACUCUGAGACAGGUGCUGCAUGGCUGUCGUCAGCUCGUGUUGUGAAAUGUUGGGUUAAGUCCCGCAACGAGCGCAACCCUUAUCCUUUGUUGCCAGCGGCUCGGCCGGGAACUCAAAGGAGACUGCCGGUGAUAAACCGGAGGAAGGUGGGGAUGACGUCAAGUCAUCAUGGCCCUUACGGCCAGGGCUACACACGUGCUACAAUGGCGCAUACAAAGAGAAGCGACCUCGCGAGAGCAAGCGGACCUCAUAAAGUGCGUCGUAGUCCGGAUUGGAGUCUGCAACUCGACUCCAUGAAGUCGGAAUCGCUAGUAAUCGUAGAUCAGAAUGCUACGGUCGAAUACGUUCCCGGGCCUUGUACACACCGCCCGUCACACCAUGGGAGUGGGUUGCAAAAGAAGUAGGUAGCUUAACCUUCGGGAGGGCGCUUACCACUUUGUGAUUCAUGACUGGGGUGAAGUCGUAACAAGGUAGGCGUAGCGAG
This 522-nucleotide ribosomal RNA is filed under the name uncultured bacterium. RNAcentral's name for it is "bacterial SSU rRNA". It matches the Rfam family "Bacterial small subunit ribosomal RNA", at positions 988 to 1509 of the family's 1533-position model. The record is from RNAcentral.